RNAcentral lists this ribosomal RNA (244 nucleotides) under uncultured bacterium. RNAcentral's name for it is "partial 16S ribosomal RNA". It matches the Rfam family "Bacterial small subunit ribosomal RNA", at positions 530 to 773 of the family's 1533-position model. The record is from RNAcentral.
GGUGGCAAGCGUUGUCCGGAUUUAUUGGGCGUAAAGCGAGUGCAGGCGGUUAUUUAAGUCUGAUGUGAAAGCCUUCGGCUCAAACGGAGAAUUGCAUUGGAAACUGUUUAACUUGAGUGCAGAAGAGGAGAGUGGAACUCCAUGUGUAGCGGUGGAAUGCGUAGAUAUAUGGAAGAACACCAGUGGCGAAGGCGGCUCUCUGGUCUGCAACUGACGCUGAGGCUCGAAAGCAUGGGUAGCGAAC